GCCAGACCUGACUGCUAUCGGAUUGAUACUAAGCCAUGCGAGUCAUUGUAGCAAUACAAGGCAUACGGCUCAGUAACGCGUAGUCAACCUAACCUAUGGACGGGAAUAACCUCGGGAAACUGAGAAUAAUGCCCGAUAGAACAUUAUACCUGGAAUGGUUUAUGUUCCAAAUGAUUUAUCGCCGUAGGAUGGGACUGCGGCCUAUCAGUUUGUUGGUGAGGUAAUGGCCCACCAAGACUAUUACAGGUACGGGCUCUGAGAGGAGUAGCCCGGAGAUGGGUACUGAGACACGGACCCAGGCCCUAUGGGGCGCAGCAGGCGAGAAAACUUUGCAAUGUGCGAAAGCACGACAAGGUUAAUCCGAGUGAUUUCUGCUAAAGAAAUCUUUUGUUAGUCCUAGAAACACUAACGAAUAAGGGGUGGGCAAGUUCUGGUGUCAGCCGCCGCGGUAAAACCAGCACCUCAAGUGGUCAGGAUGAUUAUUGGGCCUAAAGCAUCCGUAGCCGGCUCUGUAAGUUUUCGGUUAAAUCUGUACGCUCAACGUACAGGCUGCCGGGAAUACUGCAUAGCUAGGGAGUGGGAGAAGUAGACGGUACUCGGUAGGAAGUGGUAAAAUGCUUUGAUCUAUCGAUGACCACCUGUGGCGAAGGCGGUCUACUAGAACACGUCCGACGGUGAGGGAUGAAAGCUGGGGGAGCAAACCGGAUUAGAUACCCGGGUAGUCCCAGCUGUAAACUAUGCAAACUCAGUGAUGCAUUGGCUUGUGGCCAAUGCAGUGCUGCAGGGAAGCCGUUAAGUUUGCCGCCUGGGAAGUACGUACGCAAGUAUGAAACUUAAAGGAAUUGGCGGGGGAGCACCACAAGGGGUGAAGCCUGCGGUUCAAUUGGAUUCAACGCCGGG
Molecule: ribosomal RNA, 900 nt
Filed under: uncultured archaeon
Lineage: Archaea
Description: bacterial SSU rRNA
Rfam family: Archaeal small subunit ribosomal RNA
Source: RNAcentral